CCUCCUUUCUUCCGCCGUCGGGAAUUUUCCACAAUGGACGAAAGCCUGAUGGAGCAACGCCGCGUGAGUGAAGAAGGGUUUCGGCUCGUAAAGCUCUGUUGGUAGUGAAGAAAGAUAGAGGUAGUAACCGGCCUUUAUUUGACGGUAAUUACUUAGAAAGUCACGGCUAACUACGUGCCAGCAGCCGCGGUAAUACGUAGGUGGCAAGCGUUGUCCGGAUUUAUUGGGCGUAAAGCGAUUGCAGGCGGUUCAAUAAGUCUGAUGUGAAAGCCUUCGGCUCAACCGGAGAAUUGCAUCAGAUACUGUUGAACUUGAGUGCAGAAGAGGAGAGUGGAACUCCAGGUGUAGCGGUGGAAUGCGUAGAUAUAUGGAAGAACACCAGUGGCGAAGGCGGGUCUCUGGUCUGCAACUGACGCUGAGGCUCGAAAGCAUGGGUAGCGAACAGGAUUAGAUACCACAGUAGUC
This 465-nucleotide ribosomal RNA is filed under the name uncultured bacterium. RNAcentral's name for it is "partial 16S ribosomal RNA". It matches the Rfam family "Bacterial small subunit ribosomal RNA", at positions 338 to 795 of the family's 1533-position model. The record is from RNAcentral.